AGGGAAUCUUCCGCAAUGGACGAAAGUCUGACGGAGCAACGCCGCGUGAGUGAUGAAGGCCUUCGGGUCGUAAAACUCUGUUGUUAGGGAAGAAUAAGUACCGGAGUAACUGCCGGUACCUUGACGGUACCUAACCAGAAAGCCACGGCUAACUACGUGCCAGCAGCCGCGGUAAUACGUAGGUGGCAAGCGUUGUCCGGAAUUAUUGGGCGUAAAGCGCGCGCAGGCGGUCCUUGAAGUCUGAUGUGAAAGCCCACGGCUCAACCGUGGAGGGUCAUUGGAAACUGGGGGACUUGAGUGCAGAAGAGGAAAGCGGAAUUCCACGUGUAGCGGUGAAAUGCGUAGAGAUGUGGAGGAACACCAGUGGCGAAGGCGGCUUUCUGGUCUGUAACUGACGCUGAGGCGCGAAAGCGUGGGGAGCAAAC
This 425-nucleotide ribosomal RNA is filed under the name uncultured bacterium. RNAcentral describes it as "bacterial SSU rRNA". It matches the Rfam family "Bacterial small subunit ribosomal RNA", at positions 356 to 773 of the family's 1533-position model. The record is from RNAcentral.